UGGGUAUAAAAAUACGUAAAUACUCGAGUAAAGAAAUCAGUUGCAGAGUAAGUUUCUACGACGUCACUAAAAGUUUUACGAAGAAGUUCUCAUUCUGUAGUUUUGUCGCUGGUUUAGUAUUCAAGAGUUCUGUUAUCAUGAAGACCUGUCUAAUACUAGUUUUGAUGUGCAUGGUAGUUAUGCAAGCGUUGUCAGCACCGCACUUCUUCGAAGAAGAUGCACUCCCCCAGCGUAAAGGCAGAGAAAUGACAGGAUUUAAACGAUUAGAAAGAAAUGGAUAUGUUUCAUCAGAUGAUAAAAGAAUGGAAGAUUCAUUCCGAAGAAGAUCACAAUAAUAUCAAUACACGGUAUAGUGUCGACAGCUGCAUUUGUUGAAGAGGAAUUUAUUCGUUAUCUAAAAAGAACACAAGACGUGCUUUAGCUGAUUAAGAAGUCGAGAAAAACCUGGAACGAGUUAGCACUGCAAUGCAUUGUGGGACUGUUUUAGGGGACAUGUUUCAAAGAUGGCGUCUAUCUCUAUCUAUAUGUCAACAGAUAUACAGCAAAAAAUUGUAAAAACUCACGAUGCAAGCGAUUAA
Actinia tenebrosa (Australian red waratah sea anemone) is the source of this 578-nucleotide long non-coding RNA. Lineage: Eukaryota; Metazoa; Cnidaria; Anthozoa; Actiniaria; Actiniidae. The record is from RefSeq and is a predicted model, not a curated record.